Molecule: non-coding RNA, 135 nt
Organism: Triticum urartu
Lineage: Eukaryota; Viridiplantae; Streptophyta; Magnoliopsida; Poales; Poaceae
Source: Rfam
CAAGUACUCCCUCCGUCCCAAAUUUUUUAUUUUAGAUUUGUCUAAAUAUGAAUGUAUCAAGUCACAUUUUAGUAUUAGAUACAUCCGUAUCUAGAUAAAUUUAAGACAAAUUUUUUGGGACGAAGAGAGUACGUG